Molecule: long non-coding RNA, 435 nt
Organism: Oreochromis aureus
Lineage: Eukaryota; Metazoa; Chordata; Actinopteri; Cichliformes; Cichlidae
Source: Ensembl
GGAUGGGACCAUGAAGUAAGUGGCCUGACUGAGACAUCGAGAGAAACACUUUAUCCAGCCUGGUGGUGGAUCUUGUGGUGGAGGACGUGUUUCUCACACCCAACACAGCCGAACCAGAACAGGACCAGAAAGUACUAGCAAGACACUUAAAUUGCAACCCCAACUUUAUUGGCAUCUGCACCAUUAAUCCAGGACAGGGAUGAGAAGGAAAAACAACCAAAAACACCUGGAGACACCACCUGGCUGCAGCACAUGAAAAGUUUGCUUGACGGUAAGCUACCAGAUUUAAUUACUCAUUAAAUAAAGAUGCUGCAAUGAACUGUCCAUGCCUGCUUAACCCAUUUUCAUACUUUAUAAGAAGUCAAUUCUUUAAAUUAUACCAUGGGGGCAGCUUCAAGAGGACUGGAAGGAAGAAGAACAACACAACACUACCUG